Molecule: small nuclear RNA, 107 nt
Organism: Artibeus jamaicensis (Jamaican fruit-eating bat)
Lineage: Eukaryota; Metazoa; Chordata; Mammalia; Chiroptera; Phyllostomidae
Source: RefSeq, a predicted model, not a curated record
GUACUCACUCUGGCAGCAUAUAUACUAAAAUUGAAACAAUACAGAAAAGAUUAGCAUGGCCCCUGGGCAAGGAUGACCUGCAAAUUCAUGAUGCGUUCCAUAUUUUG